UGGAAAAUGAGUGAUUUGUGAAAGACAGUAAAAUAUCUGACUAUUAAUGUACUGGUUUUGUCAUAAUGUAAAAGAAUUUAAAGUCAAAAUUCUGAAAUGAGUAAAUCUCAGAUACCUACCUAACAAAUAUUAAUAAAGAAAUAUUUGCCACAUUUUAUAUAUUCAGCUCUUUUUGUAUGAAAGCUAAUUGACUAGGAGAAUAUUAAGUAGAAUAGUUUGUAAUAACUCUCAAAGUUGUUUUUUAUCUAAUUUUUAUUUUUAAAUAACUAUAAAGGAAAAGUAAAAUGCUAUGAUUUUAAUAGGAGUGCAUAGUCCUUUAAUCUCAAAAACCCGCUUGUUGCAACCUUUUCCCCGUAAAAGUAUUAUCUUUUAAAAACAAUUGGGCAUAUGUUUCAGCUUUUAAAAAUAAUUAAAAGUUUAGAAAUAUUAUUAAAACUAAAAACUAUUUUGAAUAGCUUAUGAGUGUACUUUUUAAACUAGUUUUUAAUUGUAAACAAACAAAAGCAAUUUAUACUUAUGCUAAAAUCCAUUAUAUAAGCUUCAUUAAGAUACAGAUAAAAUUUACAGACUUUGUUCGAUAUUUUUAAUUUAUAAAAGUCGGAAAUGAAUGAAUGAAUAGUUCGAAGCUAAAUUGCAAGCUACAAAAAUACUGUUGUAGAAUUUAUAAGCAGACAACUAUUUAAUGUGCAGACACCAACUUUGUGUGAUUGUGCUGACAUAAGAAGGUAUUAAUUAGUUGAAAUAAAAUUAAAAGCUACCUGAGGUUGUUGAAGCAUUUCAUUUUGAUUAGUAAAAAAGUGGCAGCUCCUAUAAUAAAUAGGAUCAGUCUGAAAGGAGGCCAUGUUCAAUGGCUGAGAAUCAAUGUGACCAAUAUAAAACGAUCAUUAUCGAGGUACACAAAGAUGCUGAAUUUCUGAGUUUCCUUUGAUGUAUAGCAGGGCUACAAGAUAAGAAAAUCAGAUUUCUCAAUGCAUGCCUCGGGUUUGACUAUGUUGAAAAGGACCGUGUGUAUGAUUCCUGAGAGUAAUGUUUUGUUUAAGGAUGUAAUAUGAAUGUGAGAUGUUAGAGGUUUUGGUUUGUCUGUAGACUGAGAGAAAAAAUGGAUAGUGAGAACGGUACGACGAUGGAGCUAAAGUUAGGUUAAGGAUGCACCAUCUGAGCUUAACCUCAAGGGGAGAAUGUUAAUUUACAAGGACAUCUGCCCUAGUCAAGAAAAGCCAACACGGCAUGGUUUGGGUCCGUUUUCACUACCUAAACUCUAACAAAAGUUUCCUUUCAUUGGAACACGAAAGAUGUAAAAGUGUGCCCACUUCCAUUAAUGGAAGGUCCCCUCCUCUAGUUCACUUCCUUCUCCUUCACUAGGUUGCUUAUAAUAGCCAUUUUGUAAAAUUAAAUUCCUUUAGUAGAUAAACUUUUAUUCUUA
Long non-coding RNA from Vigna angularis (adzuki bean), 1423 nucleotides. RefSeq lists it as uncharacterized. The transcript is spliced from 2 exons. NCBI's taxonomy places the organism in Eukaryota, Viridiplantae, Streptophyta, Magnoliopsida, Fabales, Fabaceae. The record is from RefSeq and is a predicted model, not a curated record.